UCAACUCUGGGGCCGGAGGCAAACUGGGACAAAAGUCAACAUAUUUGUGCCUUUCUGCGGGGAGGAUGGGGGUGGACACUCAGGAUGCAUCUCAUCUACUGUUCACUGUCCCGUUUGGGAGGGAUACAAUUGUCCUCCCCACUUUAUGGCAGCUCCAAUGUUAUGUCAAUUUGCCUGUAAAGGGAUUUCUAUCUUUUGUUUCCAGACUCCUGAAUUUUACAGACUUGAAUUCACCCAACAGGUAACACUGCCCCGGUAGUCAGGCGUUCUCUGCCUGUCUUGCUGGUGACGCGCAGCAGGGUUUUCUCGCUUUCCAUCACGGUCACAAUAGUGAUUUACAAUUAUCGUUAGACGUGCAGAUUUCCAAGCUCUGCCCCCAGAUUUUAUGAUUCAGUAGGUUUGGGAUGGCUUCCAGGAAAUCCGCAUUUUUAAUAAUCAUCUCAGGAGAUUCCAGUGGGUAGAGGAAUGGAAAGUAAGUCAGUGUUUUUACUUGUCUGCUAAGAAUUCCUCUUCACCCCUGGGUGGUGGGUGAGCAGUUGCCCCCUAGACCAUCCAGUGGCGGGGAAAGGGGAAUGGAUCCUGGGUACUUUGUAUGAGUGAAAUAAUCUCACCUUCCCAGUCAUCCAGGAAGGUGGGUAUUGUCAUCGCCCUCAUUUUACAGGUGAGGAAACCGAGGCGUAGAGGGAUGCACCAAUGUCGAUGGAGGUUGUCAGUGGCAGAGUCUUGAUUUAUAACUAGGUGUCUCUAACUGCAAGACCCAUUUAUCUUCCUCUGGGAAGGAGCGGAUGAGCUAUAAAGGGGAAUAAAAAUGAUUUGUCCAGUGGUGAAGUCAGGGCUUUGGGGACUGAUGUGGACCGCCCCCCUCCCAGGGGCCAAGCUACCAUUUCAGCAGUAAGGGCAGCUUUGGGCCUCCCAUACCCUCAGAGAGGGAGACUUGUGGCAUGCCCUCCUGAGUGCUGUGACCUGGCGUUGUCCUCUCAGAUGCCACCAAGGGAGCAGUGUCUCAGCCCCUUUCAUGGGCUGCUUCCCACCCAAGAAAGGCUCCAUGUGUCCCGGAGCACCCUCCCUAUAGCCACAGCUUAAAGGCUUUGGGUCAGACAACCGCUCUUUCCAUUUGGAACUGUACCCCUGGGUAUUGGAUGUGGCCAAACCAGGCCCCUGGGUGGCCAGGAGAAAGUGAAAGGGCCACUGGGAGCAGAAGACCCAGCCCCAGCCCUGGGGAAGGACUUACAUCCAGAUCUGGAAGAUGGCGCAUAUGCCUGAGAAACGAUCAAGUCACAGUGUAUCACAAAGGAAAAAUUAAAAAGGUGACUUGUCAACAGGUGCUUAUUGACAAAGUACAACCAGACUAUUCGAUGGCCAGGGAGGCUGGAACAAGGGGCAUCAGAAGAGAGGUCAGGAGAGGAUUCCAGAAAGAGGUGUUUAGCAUUGAAUAUUUUGAUAAAAGAAAGAGGGGGCAGAGACUGAUUGAUUGAUUGAUUGAUAGGACAGUUAUUACCAGAUGUUUACCAUGUACCAGGCCCUGUGCAGUGACCUAGGUUAAGAGACACCCAUGGAGCCUGAACCUGUGGGAACUGCUGACUCUGGGGGAAGAAGAUGCUUAGCAAGAAGGUGGUGAAGUGUGAUGAUGCUCGUAGGCUCCUCCAAUGCUGCACCACUCAGCUAGGGCAGGACCACGCUACACCAGGAGGUAAAGUGCCGAAUAUUCCCCCAUGCCACUGGCUCCGCCCCAACCCCCAGGCUCCUGUUCUGCUCCGUCUAGGGUGAUGCUGGCACAAGAGUUCCUGGACUGAGGAUGCCACCUUAGCUGGGAUUCUGAGCCUGCAAAUGUAAGGCCAAACAGGGACCCUGGUGGAUGUGCCACGGUGAAUGCCAUUUGCUGCUGAGCCCCGAGUGCUAAGCUCACCCCUUCCUGGGCAUCCCGUCAAAUUUUCCAUUCACGUGACUUGAGCAAAUAGCUGUCACGGUUGUUAUGGGCACAGCCCUUGACCGGGCACUUCUCACUGUACCACCCAGUGCAGAUGGCAUUGUCAUCCCCAUUUUAUAGAUGAGGGCACUGAGGCUCCCAGGAGUCACGGUGAUCUCGCCCAGGGCCCUGCAGCUUGUGAGUGGUACGCAGGUGGGGCUGAAACCACUGUCCUCUCUGACCCUGAACCCUGCAUCCACCCAGCCCACCUGCUACCUGCUGCCAAAGUUCACCUCCACAGAAACCCAAGGCAGGACCAACAUUGCUCUCCAAGGAGACAGACAGGUCACUGUAGUUCCUUGACGUUCUGGGAGGAGCAGAGGCCAGUGGUGAGUGAGGCCAGGAUUUUGGAGAAGACAAAGCAUGCUGUAGCAGCCAGAAAAGGGGUCUGGCCUGGAGAGGGGAUUUCAAAGAGCUGGGAAUGCCAAGGGCGUGAAGAAAUGUCCUAUUUACGAUUUCCUCUGCACAGACCAUUAGGAAGUGGAAUAAUGGAUGUGAUACGUGCCUGUGAAUUUGAUGGGGAAAUUGAAUGUGAAACGAUUCAUGGAUGCUGUUUGAAACGGCAGAUUGCAUCCUGAUUUUUACUCCUGGGGUGGGAUGAAAUGAACCAAAGGGAGCACCGCGAGGUUUGCGUAUGUGGCAUAAGCCGUGCUCGCACACAGACAGAGCUUUCAUGAAAGGCUCAGAGCCAAGAGUGAUAGUAGUAAUAAUGAUGAUCAUAACCAGUAUUUCCUGGGUACCCGCUCUGUGCCAGGCUCUGUGCUCUGCCUAGGCUGCAGGCACCAUCUUCUUUCAUCUUCACACAGACCUAGAGGGGAGUUAAGACCCAUUCCACAGAUGAGGGAUCUGAGGCUUAGUUUCUUGCUCAAGGUCAAGUCAGUUUUACCCCAAAGCCAUUCUCUAGAAACCCCUGUCAGCAUGCAGGAUCUCAGGCCCUACCCCAGCCUCAGAAAAUCAGAAUCCUCCUGUUAACCAGAUCCCUAUGUGAAGCACUAUAAACACGCCCAUACUCCCAAGAACCAAUCAGCUGUAUGACCUUGCGUAUCAUCAAGAGCAUGUUUCUUCUCUUGCCCUGAGUCAGAGAGAGGUGACACCUUUGUCACUGACCCCUUGACAUCUGAGCUCCCACAACAACCUUAAUAUACAUCACUACUUAUUCUGACUGAAAAUCCCUGUGCCUUUGUUUUCCCAUCUCUCAAACAGGCAUGACGUCAUCCCUCUAUGGGGUUAUUGUCAGAAAACACAGUAGGAUGCCUAGGAGGGCACCUGGUGCGGGUGUACAGAGGGGUUGAUGAGUGUAUAUAAAAUGAAUUGAUGGAUCAUACUGGAACCCAUCAUUGUCAAAGGCUGGUUGUGUGCCUUGUCCUGGGCUAAGUGCUCCAGAGGUAGCUUCUCAUUAAAGCGAAUUUUCACAGCCUCACCAAGGAGGCAUGGUUAUCCCUGUCUUGCAAGGAAGAAACCCUGAGAGGUUAAGUUAUUUGCCUAAAAGCACACAGCUAGGAAAUGGCAGCCCUGAGAUUCAAACCAGGCGCCUUUAGAUCUGAAGCCAGGCUGUGUCUCCCUCAUGUCAUGGCUCGCGUCUCCUCCUCCUGCAAUAUUCCAGACAGUCACCAGCCCUGAGUGCCCUUCCAGGGGCAGCACACUCCCUGGAGCUGGCUGUCCACGGAGCCCCAUCCUGGUCGCUCAUCUCUCCCCUCCGCUCUCUCCCGCUUCUUCCGCAACCCAUGUUCCGAGUUGCCACUUGCCUGCUCCAGGAGUUCCUGUGGCUCCCCGGGGCCUCCCCUCUCAAAUCUAAAUGGCUCAAUCUGUUCUCCAAGGUCCCUUCGACGCCCCGACAUCAUUUGUCACUGUUUCCAAACACCCAUUCUGCUCCAGCCAAGCUCAUCUGUUUACUGUCUCCUUGUCCCUGUUGUCGCACAGGCCACUUCUCCCAUUCCUGGCGCUUUUUCCCACAUCUCUGCUGUUCUGUUCACUUUUGCAAAACCCCAGAUCAAAACUGGGCCUUCUCUAUAGGAACUCAAACCAAGGCAGCAGUUUUUGACUCAUUCUGGGGACCAGGCCCCUCUGAGGACCUACUGGAAGUUAUAGACCCUUGCUGGAAAAGUGCACAUACCCAUAAUAUUUCACAUGCAAAUUCUGGAAGUCUCCAGACUCUUGGAGUCCUAGUUAAGAACCCCUGAGCUAGGGGAAGUACAUGCUAAGCUUUUGGAAGGAUGUGUCAAACUGGCUUUUGGGGUGAAAAAUAGGCCAGCCUAGGGGGGCACGUUUUGAAGUAUGUGCUUUGCGUUUACUUCAAGAAGAAAAAUGGGUCUCUGGCCAGAUCAGUUUAGAAAACACUGCUUUGUGACCUCUGAGCUCAAUUUCUUCACUUGUAAAAUGGGGCCAAUAAAACCUGCUUUUAUAUAAGUUGUCAUGGUGAUUGGAUGAGUUGCCUUGUGGUAUAUCGAGGACCACCUUCUCUUUGGGCCCCUGCAUCUUUUUUUUUAUAAGUUUCUACUUAGGAUGUUUUUAAAAUUUUAUUUAUUUAUUUAUUUAUGGCUGUGUUGGGUCUUCGUUUCUGUGCGAGGGCUUUCUCUAGUUGCGGCAAGCAGGGGCCACUCUUCAUCGCGGUGCACGGGCCUCUCACUGUCGCAGCCUCUCUUGUUAUGGAGCACAGGCUCCAGACGCGCAGGCUCAGUAGUUGUGGCUCACGGGCCUAGUUGCUCCGCGGCAUGUGGGAUCUUCCCAGACCAGGGCUCGAACCUGUGUCCCCUGCAUUGGCAGGCAGAUUCUCAACCACUGGGCCACCAGGGAAGCCCGGACCCCUGCAUCUGGUGUACUUUUCAAGAGGCCACCAGGAGGGGGAGAAGCUGAGACUCCCUGCUGCCCAUCGCCAGUGGAGAGUAGGGUCCCAGGGAGCUGGGAGCCUGGUGAGCGUGACUGUGGCUCCCAGUUUUUCCUCUAAGCCAGCAGAAGGGGCUGUGGAAGAGAGCCAAGGUAGCCCUUGCUAGGAGAGCAGCUGCUGCAGCCCUGAGUCUGGCUCUGACUCUUGUGUCCACAGGGACUAGAGAGCUGGUCUGGCCCCAGAGAGGCAGGGCAGGUUUGUGUUUCACAGCCCUGAGCCUCUAAAUGGAGCUAACUCCGCGCAGCCAGGGGCCUUACUGGCCCAUUAGCGCUGCUCUGGACAAUUGCAAAUCAACGCUCUGAAAAGAGACAGCUGUCCAGGUGCAGAAGGGGGACAGAGCGGCCCCAGCCAAGCCGCAGAAGGCCAGAGGAGGGAGGGGAGGCUGUGGGAAGAGCAGCCAGGGUAGCCUGGGGCCAGGGGCUGGGGCAGGGGGAGCCGUGCAGGGCAUCCACACGACCUCCGCUAGGGGCCGGAUUCCGGGCUGGUUCUGGGGAUGCAGGAGUAAAUGGAGAAUGAGUGGCAGCUUCAUUGAGCACCUACUAUGUGUCAGCCACUGGGCUAGGAACCCCACAUUCUCUGUCUUUUAAUCCUCUUCCGUACAUGCAGACUAGGCUAUGUGUUCAACCAAAUCCCGGUUCAGUUUCCCCUUCCUGAGCACACAGGAAAACUACAUUUCCUAUCCCCCUCUGCAGUGGCGGGGGCAUUUGAUGGAGUUAUGGCCUAGAAAGAGCAAGCAGAAGUGACCUGAGUGGCUUCCGGGUUGAGGCAGCGAAGAAGCCGUGGGCAGCCUCCUCUCCUCACACCCCCUGCCGGGGUGAUCUCAGAGGCCACAUGUCCCAGAUGGACAUGUGAGGUUGUGACCAUAAACUGGUAUUGGGUUAAACCACUGAGAUUUCAGGAUUUGCUAGUUGCAGGAGCCAGUGUCAAUUUCCCGGGCUAAUAUGCAGUUCACUGGUAGAAUGGCUUGUUCCCACUUUGCAGAUGGGGAAACUGAAGUUCAGACAGGGUUAUUCACCUAGCCAGCAGGCUCAGCCUCAGACCCUGUGCCCUAUUAUACCCACUCUACCCCUCCAGAAACUCAGGGUCUAGAGGGGCAGGACAACAUCAGAGCAAAUCAUGAUGAAACGCGACAGGGGGUACAUGGGGUGCUAUGGAAACAAGGAGCAAAGAGCCAGGGAUUUUGGGGAGAGGGGCUUCUCAGAGCUGAGUCAUGAGGGGUACGACAGGUGGACCAGGCAGGGAAAGGAUAGUCAAAGCAGAGGGCCCCCUGGGUGCAAAAGCCCUGAGGUCUGUGUGUAGCAAUGGUUCUAAGCAUUUGAAAACAUAUGGGAUGUUGACAUAGCCAGAGUUAGCCUCCAACUGGGUGGCAAUGACAGGGAGACUAAAUGAGUUCCAGGACUUACAGCAAGAAAGCUUGAGAUAAGAACCAAGGAAGGAAUUCCCUUGACUGGAACUGUUAAAAAACAAAAUUUAUGAGUAAACGCAAAGCUCCAAUUGGCCUUAUUAAGCAAUUCAUGAAUCAGGCAGCAUCUCAUCUGGCAAACAGGGAGAUACUCUGAGGGGUUACACAACAUGGAAGGCUGUUACAGUAAGGAGCGGAGGGACAAGGUAAGGAAGUCAUCAGCAAGGAAAAGUGAGAGUUCAUUGGAGGAAAAUAAAAGUUGAGGUGAAGACAGCUUCUCAUUGGCUGAGCUGUGGCGUUUUCUAUUGGCUGGGCUUGUUGCUGGGCAAGAAGGAAGUCUUCCUCCCUCUGGGGCAAUAAAGUAGCUGGGCUACCUGUUUGGGAACGCAAGGCACAUCUCUUCCUAUUGGGGUCAGUGACUGAUAUCUUUCUGUUGGAGUCAGUAACUGAUGUUUUUCUGUUGGGAUAACUGACGUCUUCCUGUUUGGGGUAAUUCACACGAGUGAUAGAGCGUGAGAGCUCCCUCUACGGUCCUUCCUGACUCCAAUUUUGGUUGAGGUUUCCUUUCAUUAACUUUCAAGGAAGGUUUCAAAAAUGAUACAAGGUGAUACCUCAUUGUAGUUUUGAUUUGCAUUUCUCUCUGAUUAGUGAUGUUGAGCAUCCUUUCAUUUGUUUGUUGGCAAUCUGUAUGUCUUCUCUGGAGAAAUGUCUAUUUAGGUCUUCUGCCCAUUUUUGGGUUGGGUUCUUUGUUUGAUAUUUAGCUGCAUGUGCUGCUUGUAAAUUUUGAUUCACUUUGUUAUACAGCAGAAACUAACACACCAUUGUAAAGCAAUUAUCCUCCAAUAAAGAUGUUAAAAAAAAAUAAUAAUACGAGGUGUGGGAUUCCCCCCAUCAAUAGUCACCAAGAGCUGGGAGAAAAUGAGAGAGGUGGUGUUUCCAAUUUGGAGAGAGGAGAGCCUAAAUUGUGUUUCCUUGCGCAUAUCCCCCAGGUGGGACCCCAUUCUUUCUGUCCCCCAACUCCCCAGGAGCAUGGUCCUCUUCUGUAUUCUGAGUUCUAAUUUCCCAAGAUCUAUAAUUUAAGGACUGUCCCAGCUCUGUACUCUGGGCUCCGUGAUGCAAGGUGGUGAGGCUGUUUGCCAAAAGUUUUUCCUUCACAUCCCUCUAGGUGGUGGUGGGUGAAUACAGCUUAUUUUAUUCUCCAUCUUCAGAGGUGUUGUGUUUCCAUUUCCAUCGCCGUCUGAGAGCCUGGGGGGGCGGGGAGAGGACAGAUGAAGCACAAACCAUAAAGGGCAGAGCCUCAACUUGUACUGUUUCUAGGCAGCAGGCUUGCUUCCAGCAAUCAGAGCUGAAACAGACUUUGGAGGGCCCACGGUCCAACCCUCUCGUACUGCAGGUCAGAGAUUGCAUAAAAGGAGGCAACGCUCCAAAAUCCACUUAAAGGGAACCAUGUUCCCGGGCGGCUGCUUUAAGCUCUGAAAGGUCAGCUGAGGGACCCCACAUCUGCAGCUGUCCUCACUCCCCCCAUGUGCUUAUGGGCUUCUCCCCCAUCCCACAGCAAACCAGUGAGCUAGGAGCUGUUCACAGAAGAGACGCUGAGGCCCAAGAGGAAGUGACUCUGCCCAAGCCCUUCAUCCCAGAGAUGGAAGAGCUGGGAUCACUGGCCAGUGAACCCCAAGGCUGCCCAGUAGGGGAUGCAAGAUGGUUUGGAAACCUCCAGGGCCCUCAUCUCCAGGGAGCGCCAGCUGUGAUGGGAGAGACCCUUUCCUACCUGGCAAGGUUCCCAACUGGGAAGGCAUCUGAGACUAAAGCAGGGGCCCCCGUCUAUCCCCAGGGACGACCAGCACCUCACAACUGUAACAGGUCCCCUCUGACUCCUCCCUUGGUAGCUGCCUUCCCCUUACUCCCCAGGUAAAUGACUGGAGGGGAGCGUCUGGCUCUUAGCUGGUAUUCAGGAAAUCUUUGUUGAAUAAACAAACGAAUAAAUGAGAACAGAUAAAUUACCAUGUUAACAAGAGCAAACGAAUACAGUCCAGAUCAAGUUAUAAGUUGUUUAUAAGUACUGAGGGACAAUGAGCUGAUAUCUACUGGGCCAGGAUCCAUCAGGGAGGGUUGGAAGGUGAUACAUCUGGAAGGAGGGGCUGUAACUUCACAGAGAUUGCAGAGGAAGGGCUCUGGGGGAGGGAGAACAGGUCGGGCCAAGGUUCUGAGGUAAGGACGUGCAGCCCCAAUGGGACGGAAGUAAGUGAUCAUGGUUGGAGCAGGGGACAGUGUCGGAGUGACAUGAGUGGACACAGGGGAAUGGAGUUCAGCAAUUCAUUUUUUCUUCAAGCUGUCCUCAGGGCUAGAGGGACAAGUCCGUUGUGUUGAGUUAGAUGUCAGAUAAGGCUUGAAAAUGAAAAAAAUGGAAAGAAAGAUUAGAAAACUGUCCCCAGGAUAGCUGAGUGAUUUGGAGAUUGGUCAUCUCCAAAAUACUGUGGUCAACCAGUUCCUUCAAAAGUCAGGGCACCCUGGGUUUGGGUCCCGGCAUGGCCAUGAAAUAGGUGUGUGUUCUUGGGCAAGUGACUCCUGUUCCUGGAGCCUCAGUUUUCCCAUCUGUAAAAUGGGUGGAGAGUUGGAAAUUUGACCCCUGUGGUGCAAGGUCCUGAAUGUAUGUUCCACCAGUGGGAACCUGCAGAGGACAGUGGGUGGGGAAUCCGAGAUUCUGUCGUUCUGGGGGCCGCCUCAGAGGUGCCUCUGUGGUGCCAGAAGUCAUUGUGAGGGUCUCUUUGUCGGGACCCCACAAUCCUCUGCUUCCUCUCUGGCCUUGGCUUCUGCCCCUGUAACGUUUCCCUAAGAGGCUGUGCUAGUCCUUUGCCAGACCAACAAUUUGUCUUGGCCUUCAGGAGCCAGCCCAAGCAUGAGCCCCUUCAGGUACUGCUUCUAGUUUUAUUAAGUCUAGCAAUGAAAAUCGUAACAUUGAUUUUGCUCUUACCAUGUGCCAUGCCCUGUGUUAAGCAACUCAUUUAAUCCUGAACAACAACCCUGAAAGGUAGGUACUACAGGCAGACCUCGGAGAUUCUGCAGGUUCAGUUCCAGACCACCGCAAUAAAGCAAAUAUCACAAUACGGUGAGCCACGAGGCUUUUUGGUUUCCCAGCGCAUAUAAAGUUAUGUUUACACGAUACUGUAGUCGAUUAAGCGUGCAAGAGUGUUAUGUCUAAAAACACAAUGUAUAUACAUUAAUUUAAAAAUACUUUAUUGCUAAAAAAUGCUAACCCAUCUUCGGAGCCUUCAGCGAGUCCUAAUCUUUUUGCUGGUGGAGGGUUUGAGAUAUUACAAGAAUUACCAAAAUGUGACUCAGAGACCUGAAGUGAGCAAAUGCUUUUGGAAAAAUGACAUUGAUAGACUUGUCCGACACAGGGUUGCCACAAACCUUCAAUCUGUAAAAAUGUAAUAUCUGGGAAAUGCAAUAAAAUGAGGUCUGCCUGUAGUAAUAUUGUUCCUAGGUGGGAAAAUUGAGGCUCAGAGGAGAUCAGUAGUGUGGAGGGGAAGCCAGAGGUAUGGGGGCGGGGCUGGCCACUUAUUCUGCAGUGCAAGCCCUGACCUCCAGGCUUGGUUCAGUGUCUCCAGCCUGGGCACCCAAGGACAACGACCUCCCUCCUGCAGAGUUAAAGGGCAGGAAGGUGGCCUGAAGACCCGGGGUGGCCUCCUGGAACUGGUUUUUCUCGCUCUGAGCCUCAGCUUGAGGCAGAGACUGUGCCAGUUCUGGACGCUGAGGACUUGGAAAUGGUUCUUUCGGAACUUUCCAGUCACGUGGUGUUGUUGUGCCUCUGUGGACUGGGCGGGGCCAUGGGAGGCCCCUCAGGCUGGCACCUGCCAUCUGUGAUCAAUGCAUAGGACGCUUGCGGGCCAGGUGCCAGCAGAGCCAAGAGCACAGGCCUGGGAGUUGGAGGCCUGGACUGGACACAGUGCUGGCUUUCUUGGUCAUCUGCUGAGUGGCUUUGGUCAGGCCCGUCCUGUUCUGGCCUCAGUUUUCCCAUCUGUAAAAUGAAUGCAUUGGGUAAAUCCUAGCAACUUAGAGAGAACAGUCAACACAGCAGUGGCCGAGACUUGUAUUGACAUGGCGUGUGUGGUGACGAGGUGUGUGAGAGCGUGUGUCUAUGAGUGUGUGAGCGCGGGGUCGGGAGAAGCUGGGCGCCUUCUCAGGUCAGAGGAGUUGGCAUGUGAAAGACAGAGGGCGGGGGAAGAGUCCUGAUGGACAGUCAGGAGGCCAGGCCCUCGUCCUGACUGCAGCACUGACUUGCUUGUGUCUCUGACCUGGCUGUACCUGCUCUCUGGGCAUGUGGACCCCCAUGUAUAAAAGAAGAGCUUCGGGUUGAAUAAUCUCUAGUGUCCCUGUGGCUGUGAGUCUGAUUCUGCAAAGACUUGUCUGAAUGCUAACAGAGUGGCUGGGUGAUUGGUGAAGUGAUCAGUGUGUUGGAGUCAGGGGCAUCCUGGGUAUGACCUUGGCUUUGUCCCUUGCUGACCAUGUAACCCUGGGUGGUCCCUUCGCCGGUCCCCUUCUUCAUCGGGGACAGUGGCCGUAGUGCUGAGAGCCCACAACACUCUUAGGGGCCCAUGACAUGUUUUAAUUUCUCUUUAAAACCAGAAAUUAAAAAUUGAACUUA
Long non-coding RNA from Orcinus orca (killer whale), 10897 nucleotides. RefSeq lists it as uncharacterized. Lineage: Eukaryota; Metazoa; Chordata; Mammalia; Artiodactyla; Delphinidae. The record is from RefSeq and is a predicted model, not a curated record. The transcript is spliced from 2 exons.